This is a long non-coding RNA of Topomyia yanbarensis, 318 nucleotides long. RefSeq lists it as uncharacterized. The transcript has 2 exons. NCBI's taxonomy places the organism in Eukaryota, Metazoa, Arthropoda, Insecta, Diptera, Culicidae. The record is from RefSeq and is a predicted model, not a curated record.
GUUUUCAACAGUUUUACGAAAUGAAACUAUUGUUAAUACUUAUUUGUGUGCUAUUGGCGUUGUUCCAGGUAUCUUCUGGUGCACUAGCAGGCGGAGACCGGAAUAAUACGGAAGAUAAUAAACCGAUUAUUGGAAAACGACAGGCACCUGAACCAGUAGACGUAGCCUCUCCAUGAAUCAAGGGAUAAUGAUAUACUGAUGGUGAUGUGUAUAGUACAGGACACAUCAAAAUGUUGCAUAAAUUGGACAUGCUAUUCAACAUAUCUAACAGAUCAAUAAAAUAAAAUCUGAAUAAAACAAACAGAGAGUGUCAGUAUA